CCUACGGGUGGCAGCAGUGAGGAAUAUUGGUCAAUGGACGGUAGUCUGAACCAGCCAUGUCGCGUGAAGGAAGACGGCUCUAUGAGUUGUAAACUGCUUUUGUAUAAGGGUAAACCUGAAUACGUAUAUUGAUCUGCAAGUACUGUACGAAUAAGGAUCGGCUAACUCCGUGCCAGCAGCCGCGGUAAUACGGAGGAUCCAAGCGUUAUCCGGAUUUAUUGGGUUUAAAGGGUGCGUAGGCGGGUUGAUAAGUCAGAGGUGAAAUGUCCGAGCUUAACUCUGGAACUGCAUCUAAUACUGGUGACCUAGAGAGCAGAUGCGGUAGGCGGAAUGUAUGGUGUAGCGGUGAAAUGCUUAGAGAUCAUACAGAACACCGAUUGCGAAGGCAGCUUACCAAUCUAUAUCUGACGCUGAGGCACGAAAGCGUGGGGAGCAAACAGGAUUAGAUACCCCAGUAGUC
This 460-nucleotide ribosomal RNA is filed under the name uncultured bacterium. RNAcentral describes it as "partial 16S ribosomal RNA". It matches the Rfam family "Bacterial small subunit ribosomal RNA", at positions 338 to 795 of the family's 1533-position model. The record is from RNAcentral.